UAGUGAAGCAGCAACAGGACUAUCAGACAUGCAUUCAUUAUUCUGGCUUUUCUUAUAUAAAAUAUGCAGAUUAACUAGUUGCUGAUGAUUUAUGCAAAGGUUUGACAUUCUGAUUAAACAACUUGGUUUAGGUAGUUUCAGACAAUUCAAGAACAAUAUAUGGGUUAAUAACUUUAGUUUAGUUACGAGGAGUAAAAUAAACAGUUUGAGG
Non-coding RNA from Pelobates cultripes (western spadefoot toad), 211 nucleotides. Lineage: Eukaryota; Metazoa; Chordata; Amphibia; Anura; Pelobatidae. The record is from the annotation of a GenBank genome assembly.